Molecule: ribosomal RNA, 253 nt
Filed under: uncultured bacterium
Lineage: Bacteria
Description: partial 16S ribosomal RNA
Rfam family: Bacterial small subunit ribosomal RNA
Source: RNAcentral
UACGGGGGGGGCAAGCGUUGUUCGGAAUUACUGGGCGUAAAGGGCCAGUAGGCGGCCAACUAAGUCCGACGUGAAAUCCCCAGGCUCAACUUGGGAACUGCGUCGGAUACUGGAUGGCUUGAAUUCGGGAGAGGGAUGCAGAAUUCCGGGUGUAGCGGUGAAAUGCGUAGAUAUCGGGAGGAAUACCAGUGGCGAAGGCGGCGACCUGGGCCAAUACUGACGCUGAGGUGCGAAAGCGUGGGGAGCAAACAGG